GCGCAUUUAGCUUAGUGGUUAAAGCAGCACUCAUGAAGUUUGGAUUCAUGGGUUCAAUUACCAUAGUGCACA
This 72-nucleotide transfer RNA is filed under the name Puccinia triticina. Its description in RNAcentral is "tRNA-His". It matches the Rfam family "tRNA". Rfam says of the family: Transfer RNA (tRNA) molecules are approximately 80 nucleotides in length. Their secondary structure includes four short double-helical elements and three loops (D, anti-codon, and T loops). RNAcentral also lists the same sequence under 1 other name. The record is from RNAcentral. Lineage: Eukaryota; Fungi; Basidiomycota; Pucciniomycetes; Pucciniales; Pucciniaceae.